GGUGGCAUAGAAAUGGAGUAUUAGCUUUCAAUCCAGAGAUACCUGAGAGUCCCCUUCUUAUCUCCUUUUAUAUGGAGAUAGAGUUGUAGGCUAUUACGCCAGAAUUUGAUAGGUCGUUAGUGCCUAUAGAGCCAUGAUCUAACAGACCAUUGGAAUUCAUCUACUAACCAUAAUCAGGGUUGUUAGUUGUAGGUGCUAGCAGUUAGUCGUGCCUAC
Molecule: long non-coding RNA, 216 nt
Filed under: Elaeis guineensis (African oil palm)
Lineage: Eukaryota; Viridiplantae; Streptophyta; Magnoliopsida; Arecales; Arecaceae
Description: long non-coding RNA (EGUI_LNC009272)
Source: RNAcentral